ACCGCGAUAGAUUGACUGGUAGGGCAUCUGCCCGAUAUGCUGAGGGCCGCCGGUUCGACUCCGGCUCGCGGCG
This 73-nucleotide transfer RNA is filed under the name Fasciola hepatica (liver fluke). It matches the Rfam family "tRNA". Rfam says of the family: Transfer RNA (tRNA) molecules are approximately 80 nucleotides in length. Their secondary structure includes four short double-helical elements and three loops (D, anti-codon, and T loops). The record is from Rfam by way of RNAcentral. Lineage: Eukaryota; Metazoa; Platyhelminthes; Trematoda; Plagiorchiida; Fasciolidae.